This 468-nucleotide ribosomal RNA is filed under the name uncultured bacterium. Its description in RNAcentral is "partial 16S ribosomal RNA". It matches the Rfam family "Bacterial small subunit ribosomal RNA", at positions 28 to 507 of the family's 1533-position model. The record is from RNAcentral.
GACGAACGCUGGCGGCGUGCUUAACACAUGCAAGUCGAACGGAAAGGCCCUGCUUUUGUGGGGUGCUCGAGUGGCGAACGGGUGAGUAACACGUGAGUAACCUGCCCUUGACUUUGGGAUAACUUCAGGAAACUGGGGCUAAUACCGGAUAGGAGCUCCUGCUGCAUGGUGGGGGUUGGAAAGUUUCGGCGGUUGGGGAUGGACUCGCGGCUUAUCAGCUUGUUGGUGGGGUAGUGGCUUACCAAGGCUUUGACGGGUAGCCGGCCUGAGAGGGUGACCGGCCACAUUGGGACUGAGAUACGGACCAGACUCCUACGGGAGGCAGCAGUGGGGAAUAUUGCACAAUGGGCGGAAGCCUGAUGCAGCAACGCCGCGUGCGGGAUGACGGCCUUCGGGUUGUAAACCGUUUUCGCCUGUGACGAAGCGUGAGUGACGGUAAUGGGUAAAGAAGCACCGGCUAACUACGUG